RNAcentral lists this ribosomal RNA (1402 nucleotides) under metagenome. RNAcentral describes it as "bacterial LSU rRNA". It matches the Rfam family "Bacterial large subunit ribosomal RNA", at positions 979 to 2405 of the family's 2925-position model. The record is from RNAcentral.
GGGAGUCAGACUGCACGAGAUAAGUUGGGCAGUCAAAAGGGAAAGAGCCCAGACCGCCAGCCAAGGUCCCAAAGUGUGUGUUAAGUGGAAAAGGAUGUGGGAUCUCCAAGACAACUAGGAUGUUGGCUCAGAAGCAGCCACACAUUCAAAGAGUGCGUAACAGCUCACUAGUCGAGAGGUCCUGCGCCGAAAAUGUCCGGGGCUGAAACACAACACCGAAGCUGCGGAAUUGCGAAUGCAAUUGGUAGAGGAGCAUUCUUAAUACCGACGAAGCUGUACCGGAAGGAGCAGUGGAGGGAUAAGAAGAGAGAAUGCCGGAAUGAGUAGCGAGAGAGAGGUGGGAAUCCUCUCGGCCGAAUAUCCAAGGUUUCCAGAGUAAAGCUGAUCUGCUCUGGGUAAGUCGGGGCCUAAGGCGAGGUCAAAAGACGUAGCCGAUGGACAACAGGUUUAGAUUCCUGUACCGCAUAUAAACAGAACUGUGGGGACGCAUGGGGAGAGCAUGGGCCGGGAAUGGAAAUACCGGUGCAAGCGAAGGAGGUGUGCAGCCGGCAAAUCCGCUGCAUGAGCCGAAAGCGUGACGCGGAGCGAAAUAAAAGUAGCGAAGCAUGUGAGCCCUGUGCCGAGAAAAGCCGCUAUUGUUUUAUAUGUGCCCGUACCGUAAACCGACACAGGUGGAUGAGGAGAGAAUCCUAAGGCCGGCGGAAGAAGUAUUGUUAAGGAACUCGGCAAAAUGACCCCGUAACUUCGGGAGAAGGGGUGCCCACGAGAGUGGGCCGCAGAGAAUAGGCUCAAGCAACUGUUUAGCAAAAACACAGGUCUAUGCGAAACCGAAAGGUGAAGUAUAUGGGCUGACGCCUGCCCGGUGCUGGAAGGUUAAGAGGAGAGGUUAGCGCAAGCGAAGCUUUGAAUUUAAGCCCCAGUAAACGGCGGCCGUAACUAUAACGGUCCUAAGGUAGCGAAAUUCCUUGUCGGGUAAGUUCCGACCCGCACGAAAGGCGUAAUGAUUUGAGCACUGUCUCGACAAUGCAUCCGGUGAAAUUGAAGUACCAGUGAAGAUGCUGGUUACCCGCGCCAGGACGGAAAGACCCCAUGGAGCUUUACUCCAGUUUGAUACUGGGAUUCGGUACUGCACGUACAGGAUAGGUGGGAGACUGAGAACUAUGGACGCCAGUCUGUAGGGAGUCGCUGUUGGGAUACCACCCCUGUAGUACUGGGUUUCUAACCAGCUGCCGUGACCCGGCAGUGGGACAAUGUCAGGCGGGGAGUUUGACUGGGGCGGUCGCCUCCGAAAGGGUAUCGGAGGCGCUCAAAGGUUCCCUCAGAAUGGUCGGAAACCAUUUGAAGAGUGCAAAGGCAGAAGGGAGCUUGACUGCGACACCGACGGGUGGAGCAGGUACGAAAG